Flavobacterium cauense R2A-7 is the source of this 66-nucleotide non-coding RNA. The record is from Rfam. NCBI's taxonomy places the organism in Bacteria, Pseudomonadati, Bacteroidota, Flavobacteriia, Flavobacteriales, Flavobacteriaceae.
CCUUAGCCCUGAUGGGAGUGGCAUCCUUUUGUGGAACAAAAGAUAGAACGGACAGCAGGAACUGGG